CAGUCGCCGCGGUAAUACGAAGGGUGCAAGCGUUAAUCGGAAUUACUGGGCGUAAAGCGUGCGUAGGCGGUUUGUUAAGUCUGUUGUGAAAUCCCCGGGCUCAACCUGGGAAUGGCAAUGGAUACUGGCAAGCUAGAGUGUGUCAGAGGAUGGUGGAAUUCCCGGUGUAGCGGUGAAAUGCGUAGAGAUCGGGAGGAACAUCAGUGGCGAAGGCGGCCAUCUGGGACAACACUGACGCUGAGGCACGAAAGCGUGGGGAGCAAACAGGAUUAGAGACCCCCGUAGUCCCUGUCUCUUAUAC
Molecule: ribosomal RNA, 301 nt
Filed under: uncultured bacterium
Lineage: Bacteria
Description: partial 16S ribosomal RNA
Rfam family: Bacterial small subunit ribosomal RNA
Source: RNAcentral